AUGAGAAGAAAGGAGAGCGGCUUGAUGGCACGUUGGCAUGUUCAAAAGAGCUUGAAUAUGGCCAAUACUUGGAAGGUGGAAUACCAUGGGUUAAGGAACAUGCAUGGCCUCAUCUUUGUGCUUAUUGGUGCUAAAAAAACGCCAUGUGGCAUUCCCCAUGGGCGACUAGCAAUAGCGAAUGGGGCAAUUAAGAAGGCCGAUGUUAUCUCAACAUCUAGAGAGAAGAAACUGAGGCUGUCAACUUCAGCAUCACUUCGACGAACUAUUCAAGAAAAGGAAGAACUGAAGCGACGAGCUAUAAGAAAACGAAGAACUGAAGCGACAUAA
RNAcentral lists this ribosomal RNA (327 nucleotides) under Triticum aestivum (bread wheat). RNAcentral's name for it is "partial small subunit ribosomal RNA". Lineage: Eukaryota; Viridiplantae; Streptophyta; Magnoliopsida; Poales; Poaceae. The record is from RNAcentral.